UAGUCCACGCUGUAAACGAUGAUCACUAGGUGUUCGGAACUUGAUUCUGAGUGCCCAAGCGAAAGCGAUAAGUGAUCCACCUGGGGAGUACGUUCGCAAGAAUGAAACUCAAAGGAAUUGACGGGGGCCCGCACAAGCGGUGGAGCAUGUGGUUUAAUUCGAUGAUACGCGAGGAACCUUACCUGGGCUACAAUGCCUUUGCCAGCCGGUGAAAGCCGGUUUUUCUUCGGACGAUCUGCAAGGUGCUGCAUGGUUGUCGUCAGCUCGUGCCGUGAGGUGUCGGGUUAAGUCCCAUAACGAGCGCAACCCCUAUCUUUAGUUGCCAGCGAGUAAUGUCGGGGACUCUAGAGAAACUGCCCGUGUAAACGGUGAGGAAGGUGGGGAUGACGUCAAAUCAUCACGGCCCUUACGUCUUGGGCUACACACGUGCUACAAUGGUGGAGACAGAGAGUCGCGAACCCGCGAGGGUAAGCUAAUCUUUAAACUUCAUCUCAGUUCGGAUCGGAGUCUGCAA
This 514-nucleotide ribosomal RNA is filed under the name uncultured bacterium. Its description in RNAcentral is "bacterial SSU rRNA". It matches the Rfam family "Bacterial small subunit ribosomal RNA", at positions 791 to 1310 of the family's 1533-position model. The record is from RNAcentral.